Molecule: ribosomal RNA, 823 nt
Filed under: Lycidae sp. 06610A_a_Lysp1
Lineage: Eukaryota; Metazoa; Arthropoda; Insecta; Coleoptera; Lycidae
Description: partial 16S rRNA
Rfam family: Archaeal large subunit ribosomal RNA (bases 287-487)
Source: RNAcentral
CAAUUUUAUUAUUUGAUUUGUUUACUAUUAUUAUUAUAUUUUAAAUUAUCAAAUAUUUUAUAUUUAAAGGGAUAAGCUUUUAAAUAGAAUUUUAAAAAUUUUAUUGGUUUAAUUGUUAGUGUAAUUAGAAUUGUUAAUCUUUAAUAUAAUUUUAUAUUUAUUAUUUAUUUUAUAAUAAUUUGUAUUGGUUUUAAAUUUUUUACUUAAAUUAGGUUUUUAACAUUAAAAAUUUUAUUAUAAUGAUAAAAUUAGUAAAUAUAAUUGUAGACUUUUUUUCAAGGAAAGUUUAAGGGAAGGAAUUCGGCAAACUAAUUUUUCGCCUGUUUAAUAAAAACAUGUCCUUUUGAUAAUAAUUUAAGGUCUAAUCUGCUCAAUGAUUAUUUAAAUAGCCGCAGUAUUUUAACUGUGCAAAGGUAGCAUAAUAAUUAGUCUCUUGAUUAGGGGCUUGUAUGAAUGAUUGGACGAGAAAAUUUCUGUCUCCUUUUAAUUGUUUUUUGAAUUUUAUUUUUAAGUCAAAAAGCUUAAAUUUUUAUAAAAGACGAGAAGACCCUAUAGAGUUUUAUAUCUUUAAUUUAUUGGUGUUUAGAAAUUUCUUUAUUUUAUGGGUAUUUAGUUGGGGUGACUUGGAGAUAUAAUAAAUUCUCUAAAUAUUUAAUUGAUGAUUUUUAAAUUGAAAAUCUAGUUUUUUAAAUUUAAAAUUAAUUACCUUAGGGAUAACAGCGUAAUUUUUCUUUAAAGCUCUUAUUGAAAGGAAAUUUUGCGACCUCGAUGUUGGAUUAAAAUUAAUUUUUGGUGCAGUAACUUAAAAAUUGGGUCUGUUCGA